RNAcentral lists this non-coding RNA (971 nucleotides) under Pongo abelii (Sumatran orangutan). Lineage: Eukaryota; Metazoa; Chordata; Mammalia; Primates; Hominidae. The record is from RNAcentral.
CAGUGUUUGUCCAUUUCACAAUGUUAGGAUACAGCAAGAAGUGCCAUCUUGGAAGCAGAGAGCAAACCCUCAUCAGACAUUAAAUCUGACAGCACCUUGAUCUUGGACUUCCCAGCCUCUAGAACUUGUAUGCAACGGUAUGAGGAACUGUUCCACAUUAAAGGAGACUAAGAAGACAUAACAACUCAAUGCAAUGUGUGAUUCUGGACUGGAUCUUGCAUUGGAGGAGAAAAUGCUAUAAAAGGUUUACCGCCAUAUUUUGAAGAGAUAGACAGCAUUUCCAGCUUCCACUCCUCUCAUUUUAAUGGGCAACAAGAAAAGGAACUACCAGGAGUAAGGUUCAAAUUUUGAUACACAGAAGAGGUGUAUCCAAAGGUUUAAUGAAAAUUGAAGGGUCAGAAGUACAUUCAUGUCCAGGGAUCACCAAUGAGGAAAUGUGCAGCAGAGCUGAUAAUAUUGUGUAGGAGAACAGACAAGCAACUCUUCUACUGAUGACCAAGGUGCUUCCCAACCACUGCCACUGUCUGCAUUCGAGUUUCGUUUUACCUCUGGACAUUUGCUUUGGCUGCUGCCACUUGGAAUGACUGCCACAGCUAAAUCGAGUGAUAUUUUUAACCCUAUGUGUUCAUGGAGGCACUCCAGCUACAAACCAAAGGAAAUCCCAAUUUAGAUUACUUGGAAUCAGUACUAUAAAAUUAUGCAGUUUGUGAAUAUAUUCUUGGUGUUUCACAGUUGACAACACUAUAUUCCCUUGAGUACCAAACUCACAGAAACCCCAUGGAAUGAUCUCUCUCUCCAAGUACAGUUUUUCUAGAAUCAGUAUGAGGUGUGAGACUAAUCAGACAAGGGCUUUAGCAAAUGUGCAUUUUUAAAAUAAACAGCCUAGAAAAAUUAUGGCAGUUCCUUUAUGGCCCAGAAUAACAUGUUUUCACUUAUCAGCUGCUUAACAGAGAAAUGAAUUGAUACAAAAA